This 162-nucleotide microRNA precursor is filed under the name Helianthus annuus (common sunflower). Its description in RNAcentral is "microRNA MIR167_1". It matches the Rfam family "MIR167 microRNA precursor family". Lineage: Eukaryota; Viridiplantae; Streptophyta; Magnoliopsida; Asterales; Asteraceae. The record is from RNAcentral.
UCUAAGUAAUCAGUGAAGCUGCCAGCAUGAUCUAUUUAGUGUUUGUAUUGCAAGGGUGGUUGAUUUUACAGUUUUUUUUUUCUUUUUAAAAAAUCACCACCCUUUCUGAUAAUACUAGAAAACCCUAGCUAGGUCAUGCGGACAGCUUCACUCGUUCCUUUG